CGGGGGAGAGUCCCCGACAUGCUCGGGGCGCCGAAGGGGCAAAUCUCCCCGGAACCUCUCAGGCGCCAGGACCUCGC
RNAcentral lists this non-coding RNA (77 nucleotides) under Candidatus Janibacter merdipullorum. RNAcentral describes it as "Glycine riboswitch". It matches the Rfam family "Glycine riboswitch aptamer", at positions 9 to 86 of the family's 94-position model. Rfam says of the family: This family represents the bacterial glycine riboswitch. Glycine riboswitches usually consist of two metabolite-binding aptamers domains with similar structures in tandem. The aptamers cooperatively bind glycine to regulate the expression of downstream genes. The record is from RNAcentral. Lineage: Bacteria; Bacillati; Actinomycetota; Actinomycetes; Micrococcales; Intrasporangiaceae.